Long non-coding RNA from Ictalurus punctatus (channel catfish), 1390 nucleotides. Lineage: Eukaryota; Metazoa; Chordata; Actinopteri; Siluriformes; Ictaluridae. The record is from Ensembl.
UUCCCCUUCAAACCUGUGUCCAACCUUUAUCCCAAAACAGGAUGUUGUGCAGAGGCCAUGAAAACACUGAUCCAAAUAAAAAGCUUACAGCACCUAGUAUUCCCAUUCAGUCUCCCAACCAAGUACUAACCAGGCCCAGCUCUGCUUUGCUUCCGAGGUCAGAUGAGAUCAGGCUUUUUCAGAGUGGUAUGGCCGUAAGCGAAAGCUGACCCCAAAUGGGGCCUAUUUUAAAUAGUGUAAUCAAAAGACUGACUGACUGAUUGAUUGAUUGAUUGGGUCCCCUUCAAACCUGUGUCCAACCUUUAUCCCAAAACAGGAUGUUGUGCAGAGGCCAUGAAAACACUGAUCCAAAUAAAAAGCUUACAGCACCUAGUAUUCCCAUUCAGUCUCAUAACCAAGUACUAACCAGGCCCAACUCUGCUUUGCUUCCGAGGUCAGAUGAGAUCAGGCUUUGUCAGAGUGGUAUGGCCGUAAGCGAAAGCUGACCCCAAAUGGGGCCUAUUUAAAUAGUGUAAUCAAAAGACUGACUGAGUGACUGACUGAUUGAUUGAUUGGGUCCCCUUCAAACCUGUGUCCAACCUUUAUCCCAAAACAGGAUGUUGUGCAGAGGCCAUGAAAACACUGAUCCAAAUAAAAAGCUUACAGCACCUAGUAUUCCCAUUCAGUCUCCCAACCAAGUACUAACCAGGCCCAACUCUGCUUUGCUUCCGAGGUCAGAUGAGAUCAGGCUUUUUCAGAGUGGUAUGGCCGUAAGCGAAAGCUGACCCCAAAUGGGGGCUAUUUAAAAUAUGUAAUCAAAAGACUGACUGACUGACUGACUGACUGACUUGAUUGAUUGAUUGAUUGGGUCCCCUUCAAACCUGUGUCCAACCUUUAUCCCAAAACAGGAUGUUGUGCAGAGGCCAUGAAAACACUGAUCCAAAUAAAAAAGCUUACAGCACCUAGUAUUCCCAUUCAGUCUCCCAACCAAGUACUAACCAGGCCCAACUCUGCUUUGCUUCCGAGGUCAGAUGAGAUCAGGCUUUUUCAGAGUGGUAUGGCCGUAAGCGAAAGCUGACCCCAAAUGGGGCCUAUUUAAAUAGUGUAAUCAAAAGACUGACUGACUGACUGACUGACUGACUGACUGACUGAUUGAUUGAUUGAUUGGGUCCCUUCAAACCUGUGUCCAACCUUUAUCCCAAAACAGGAUGUUGUGCAGAGGCCAUGAAAACACUGAUCCAAAUAAAAAGCUUACAGCACCUAGUAUUCCCAUUCAGUCUCCCAACCAAGUACUAACCAGGCCCAACUCUGCUUUGCUUCCGAGGUCAGAUGAGAUCAGGCUUUUUCAGAGUGGUAUGGCCGUAAGCGAAAGCUGACCCCAAAUGGGGCUAUUUAAAUAGUGUAAUCAAAA